This 2258-nucleotide ribosomal RNA is filed under the name Campylobacter coli. RNAcentral describes it as "partial 23S ribosomal RNA". It matches the Rfam family "Bacterial large subunit ribosomal RNA", at positions 681 to 2925 of the family's 2925-position model. The record is from RNAcentral. Lineage: Bacteria; Pseudomonadati; Campylobacterota; Epsilonproteobacteria; Campylobacterales; Campylobacteraceae.
GUCUGAAUAGGGCGCUUAGUCAGAUGCUGCAGACCCGAAACGAAGUGAUCUAUCCAUGAGCAAGUUGAAGCUAGUGUAAGAACUAGUGGAGGACUGAACCCAUAGGCGUUGAAAAGCCCCGGGAUGACUUGUGGAUAGGGGUGAAAGGCCAAUCAAACUUCGUGAUAGCUGGUUCUCUCCGAAAUAUAUUUAGGUAUAGCGUUGUGUCGUAAUAUAAGGGGGUAGAGCACUGAAUGGGCUAGGGCAUACACCAAUGUACCAAACCCUAUCAAACUCCGAAUACCUUAUAUGUAAUCACAGCAGUCAGGCGGCGAGUGAUAAAAUCCGUCGUCAAGAGGGAAACAACCCAGACUACCAGCUAAGGUCCCUAAAUCUUACUUAAGUGGAAAACGAUGUGAAGUUACUUAAACAACCAGGAGGUUGGCUUAGAAGCAGCCAUCCUUUAAAGAAAGCGUAAUAGCUCACUGGUCUAGUGAUUUUGCGCGGAAAAUAUAACGGGGCUAAAGUAAGUACCGAAGCUGUAGACUUGAUUUUAUCAAGUGGUAGGAGAGCGUUCUAUUUGCGCCGAAGGUAUACCGGUAAGGAGUGCUGGAGCGAAUAGAAGUGAGCAUGCAGGCAUGAGUAGCGAUAAUUAAUGUGAGAAUCAUUAACGCCGUAAACCCAAGGUUUCCUACGCGAUGCUCGUCAUCGUAGGGUUAGUCGGGUCCUAAGUCGAGUCCGAAAGGGGUAGACGAUGGCAAAUUGGUUAAUAUUCCAAUACCAACAUUAGUGUGCGAUGGAAGGACGCUUAGGGCUAAGGGGGCUAGCGGAUGGAAGUGCUAGUCUAAGGUCGUAGGAGGUUAUACAGGCAAAUCCGUAUAACAAUACUCCGAGAACUGAAAGGCUUUUUGAAGUCUUCGGAUGGAUAGAAGAACCCCUGAUGCCGUCGAGCCAAGAAAAGUUUCUAAGUUUAGCUAAUGUUGCCCGUACCGUAAACCGACACAGGUGGGUGGGAUGAGUAUUCUAAGGCGCGUGGAAGAACUCUCUUUAAGGAACUCUGCAAAAUAGCACCGUAUCUUCGGUAUAAGGUGUGGUUCGCUUCGUAUUAGGAUUUACUCCGAAAGCGAAGAAACUUACAACAAAGAGUCCCUCCCGACUGUUUACCAAAAACACAGCACUCUGCUAACUCGUAAGAGGAUGUAUAGGGUGUGACGCCUGCCCGGUGCUCGAAGGUUAAUUGAUGGGGUUAGCAUUAGCGAAGCUCUUGAUCGAAGCCCGAGUAAACGGCGGCCGUAACUAUAACGGUCCUAAGGUAGCGAAAUUCCUUGUCGGUUAAAUACCGACCUGCAUGAAUGGCGUAACGAGAUGGGAGCUGUCUCAAAGAGGGAUCCAGUGAAAUUGUAGUGGAGGUGAAAAUUCCUCCUACCCGCGGCAAGACGGAAAGACCCCGUGGACCUUUACUACAGCUUGACACUGCUAUUUGGAUAAGAAUGUGCAGGAUAGGUGGGAGGCUUUGAGUAUAUGACGCCAGUUGUAUAUGAGCCAUUGUUGAGAUACCACUCUUUCUUAUUUGGGUAGCUAACCAGCUUGAGUUAUCCUCAAGUGGGACAAUGUCUGGUGGGUAGUUUGACUGGGGCGGUCGCCUCCCAAAUAAUAACGGAGGCUUACAAAGGUUGGCUCAGAACGGUUGGAAAUCGUUCGUAGAGUAUAAAGGUAUAAGCCAGCUUAACUGCAAGACAUACAAGUCAAGCAGAGACGAAAGUCGGUCUUAGUGAUCCGGUGGUUCUGUGUGGAAGGGCCAUCGCUCAAAGGAUAAAAGGUACCCCGGGGAUAACAGGCUGAUCUCCCCCAAGAGCUCACAUCGACGGGGAGGUUUGGCACCUCGAUGUCGGCUCAUCGCAUCCUGGGGCUGGAGCAGGUCCCAAGGGUAUGGCUGUUCGCCAUUUAAAGCGGUACGCGAGCUGGGUUCAGAACGUCGUGAGACAGUUCGGUCCCUAUCUGCCGUGGGCGUAAGAAGAUUGAAGAGAUUUGACCCUAGUACGAGAGGACCGGGUUGAACAAACCACUGGUGUAGCUGUUGUUCUGCCAAGAGCAUCGCAGCGUAGCUAAGUUUGGAAAGGAUAAACGCUGAAAGCAUCUAAGCGUGAAGCCAACUCUAAGAUGAAUCUUCUCUAAGCUCUCUAGAAGACUACUAGUUUGAUAGGCUGGGUGUGUAAUGGAUGAAAGUCCUUUAGCUGACCAGUACUAAUAGAGCGUUUGGCUUAUCUUUAAUAAAGCAU